This 1392-nucleotide long non-coding RNA is filed under the name Piliocolobus tephrosceles (Ugandan red Colobus). Its description in RNAcentral is "lncRNA (ENSPTEG00000008434.1)". Lineage: Eukaryota; Metazoa; Chordata; Mammalia; Primates; Cercopithecidae. The record is from RNAcentral.
AUGUUGGAAAGCAAAAACUUAGAAGAAGAGAUAAAAACGCUAAGCGUAAGAGAAAAAAUAGAAAAAUCAAAAAUAAGUAGAAAGAUAGAUGAAUAUACAUUAUAUAUAAAAAAUAAAGUUGUAGAAGACUCAAAAAAUAAUAUGCACGAUAAUUUAUCACAACAGUUAAUAAAAGUUGAACAAAGUCAUGUACAUAAUUUAAAUAAAAAUUGUAAAAACAAUUUUAUAAACGAUUCUAUAACAAAUGAAAAAAAUUCCACAUGUUUACACUUAUGUAGUAUAAACACAAAAUUGCCUAAAGAUAAUAUUAAACAGGCUGUUAGUAAUAAUAAUAAUGUUAUACAUAUAUUCCAAAAUAAUGAAAAAAAUAAAAUAACAUAUGAUAAAAAUCUAUAUAACACUGAUAGUAACAACUGUCAUAAUUAUUGUAUUAAAAUAGAUGAAAAUAAUAACACUAUAUGUGAUGCUUGUAAUUUUUGCGAUGAUAUAUGUUCAUCUAAUUUUUGCGAAAAAUGUCAUACUAAAAAAAAAGAAUUGUAUAGAAAAUAUAAAAAAUAUAAAAAAUACACUUUAAUAAUAUGUAAUAAGGAAAUAAAACGUUUACUACAAAUUAGUAAAGAAACACAUGAACAAAUUUUAUAUAAUAAUGGUAUAAAAAUGAAAACAAAAAAGGGGGAAGAAAAAGAAGGGGAAAAAGAAGAGGAAAAAAAAAAAAAUGAAAAUAUAAAUAAAAAUCCAGUUAUAGAAAAUAUUGUUAAUCAUACGAAUAACAAACAUAUGACUUCUUUAUGUGUUAAUAACAAAAUGAAUGUAAUGAUAAAAAAUUUAAAAAAUGAAAAAAGUUGUAGUAGUUGUANNNNNNNNNNUAGUUGUAGUAAUAGUUGUAGUAAUAGUUGUAGUAAUAGUAGUAGUUGUUGUAGUAAUAGUUGUAGUAGUAUUAACAAUAAUAAUAUAAAUUUAACCAAAUAUAAUGGUACAGAAAAUAUUAUACAUAUUUCAAAAGAUAUCGAAGAAAAUCUUAAUAAUUUUAAAUGCGCUAAUUAUGCAAAAUGUGAAAAUUAUAUAAAAGGUAAUAAUUAUGCAAAAUGUGCUAAUUAUUCAAACUGUGAAAAUUAUAUAAAAUAUAAAAAAUGUUUUACUCCAUGCGAAGUAAAAAGACAUAAUAAAAUUAACGACUGUUGGAUUAUGGCUAAUGGAUUUGUUUAUGAUGUUACAAAUAUAAUUAGUGAUCAUCCAGGAGGUAGUGAUUGUAUAUUAAGAAAAGCAGGUCAAGAUGUAACUUCUGAUUUUUUUUUUCAUUCAAAAUAUGCACAAAAUUAUAUUUGGGAAUCUGUUAAAAUAGGAAAAGUUGUAAAUUGUGUCAAACCAGUUAUAAGUGAUAAAAAAAAUAUA